CCCUGUACGCAAAAUGUUAUUUGGACCAUCGUUAAGAAGGUAAGGACGGUGACGAAAAACCAAGUGAAACUACUUCGAGUGGCUGUUCACGAUAAUUAUGAUACCAAUGCGAGGCCGGUUCAACCAAUAAAUAAACGUGUGGUGAAGUUAUUCAGACCAAAAUCUCUGUGAAUCAAGGCAUCACAUGAAUCAAAUACAAAGAUACAAUACAAUUUAUUUCAUUUUUUUACAAUCAAAGUGUAAUUUUUAUUUAUUACGAAAUUAAUGAUGUAUGUGUUUCCUGA
Non-coding RNA from Camelina sativa (false flax), 284 nucleotides. The record is from RefSeq and is a predicted model, not a curated record. NCBI's taxonomy places the organism in Eukaryota, Viridiplantae, Streptophyta, Magnoliopsida, Brassicales, Brassicaceae.